UAAGCGGAGGAAAAGAAACUAACAAGGAUUCCCCUAGUAACUGCGAGUGAAGCGGGAAAAGCUCAAAUUUAAAAUCUGGUGGUCUUUGGCCAUCCGAGUUGUAAUUUAGAGAAGCGUCUUCCGCGCUGGACCGUGCACAAGUCUCCUGGAAUGGAGCGUCAUAGAGGGUGAGAAUCCCGUCUUUGGCACGGACACACCAGGGCUUUUGUGAUGCGCUCUCGAAGAGUCGAGUUGUUUGGGAAUGCAGCUCAAAAUGGGUGGUGAACUCCAUCUAAAGCUAAAUAUUGGCGAGAGACCGAUAGCGAACAAGUACCGUGAGGGAAAGAUGAAAAGCACUUUGGAAAGAGAGUGAAACAGUACGUGAAAUUGUUGAAAGGGAAACGCUUGAAGUCAGUCACGUCGACCGAGACUCAGCCUUGCCUCGGCUUGGUGUACUUCUCGGCUGACGGGUCAGCAUCAAUUUCGCCCCUUGGAUAAUGGCGAGGGAAAUGUGACACCUUUACGGUGUGUUAUAGUCUCUCGUCGCAUGCAAGGGUUGGGAUUGAGGAACUCAGCACGCGCCUUUGGGCGUCGGGGCUUUGCCCACGAUACGUGCUUAGGAUGUUGGCAUAAUGGCUUUAAACGACC
This 627-nucleotide ribosomal RNA is filed under the name uncultured Russulaceae. RNAcentral's name for it is "LSU rRNA". It matches the Rfam family "Eukaryotic large subunit ribosomal RNA", at positions 47 to 649 of the family's 3401-position model. The record is from RNAcentral. Lineage: Eukaryota; Fungi; Basidiomycota; Agaricomycetes; Russulales; Russulaceae.